GCGGGAAUAACUCAAUGGUAGAGUGUCAGCUUCCCAAGCUGAAGGUUGCGGGUUCAAAUCCCGUUUCCCGCUCCA
RNAcentral lists this transfer RNA (75 nucleotides) under Desulfovibrio sp. RNAcentral's name for it is "tRNA-Gly". It matches the Rfam family "tRNA". From Rfam's summary of the family: Transfer RNA (tRNA) molecules are approximately 80 nucleotides in length. Their secondary structure includes four short double-helical elements and three loops (D, anti-codon, and T loops). Further hydrogen bonds mediate the characteristic L-shaped molecular structure. tRNAs have two regions of fundamental functional importance: the anti-codon, which is responsible for specific mRNA codon recognition, and the 3' end, to which the tRNAs corresponding amino acid is attached (by aminoacyl-tRNA synthetases). tRNAs cope with the degeneracy of the genetic code in two manners: having more than one tRNA (with a specific anti-codon) for a particular amino acid; and 'wobble' base-pairing, i.e. permitting non-standard base-pairing at the 3rd anti-codon position. Lineage: Bacteria; Pseudomonadati; Thermodesulfobacteriota; Desulfovibrionia; Desulfovibrionales; Desulfovibrionaceae. The record is from RNAcentral.